RNAcentral lists this long non-coding RNA (1306 nucleotides) under Mytilus galloprovincialis (Mediterranean mussel). Lineage: Eukaryota; Metazoa; Mollusca; Bivalvia; Mytilida; Mytilidae. The record is from RNAcentral.
UUUACAAAAUUGUACUGUACUUUAAAAGCAUUUUGAAAAUGUUUCUCAUCCUGAAAGCAAUAAUGCAGAUUUUUGCUACAAGUUAAUUUCUAGUUUAGUGAUUGCAAUUUAUAGUGUAUGAUUUGAUAUUGCAAAUGCAAAUUGCAAAUACAAAAAUCUUGUUCAUAGAUAUAAAAAGAUGUUGUAUGAGUGCCAAUAUUCAUGUAUAUCAAGUAUUGACGAUUUCAUAUUGGAUUCAACUUUUCAAGAACAAAACUAGAUAUAGCAAUAGAUCAAAUGAGUAUAUUCCAUGACACAUAAUGAGGUGACAAUGUUAAGUUUUAAUCUUUGUGUAUCAGACCAGGUGCACAAGUUCUUUUUGUCCUCAAAUGAAAAAAAAUGAAAGCAAUCUUUACCCUGUACUGCAGUGCUCACAAGCACUUUGAUUUUUUAAUUGGUUAUUAAUGAAUGUGUAAAAAAAAAAAGGGGGGGGGAAACAAUUCUCUUUAUGGUCCUUCGUUCAACUAAUGAAAUUGAAAAAUACCAUUGAAAAAAUCUAUAUCAUGAAGAUUUUUGCAUGAAGGAAACAAUUCAUUCUUUAAAAAUUGCAUAUAAAGCAAAUGAAAGCAUCUAAAGUGGUAUGAAUAUAAAGUUGGUUGGAUGACCAGGAAAGAAAAAGACUUACAUAGUUGGAUAUUUAGACUAUAGAUUAUAAUAAAGAUAGGAAAAAUCAUUUAUUAUAUUUAUGUGGGAACAAAAAGAAAAUCGCAUAUUCAGAAGUAUUAGCAUGAUUAGUUGUUUUAUAAAGUAUAUCUUCAAUAAGGUUAUUUUGAAUAAUUUUUGGUUCAAGGGACUAAUAUUUCUGCAUUUAACUUGGGACAAAAAAGUCCUAAUCACUAAUUUAAAUAUUCAUAUGUAUGAAAGGUAGUGUAGUCUAUACACACAUUGAGAUUACACCUGAUUUUAGUGUUCAGUAUGUGUUUAAGUGAUAUGAUGAAUAAAAAUGUAUAAAUUAUGUGAAUUUUAUUUUUUCAGACCAUAGUAUCAAAUACUAGCAUUCUUUAAGAUUCACAUAUUACUUGUACAGUUUUUAUUUAUUUCAAAGAUAUUUGUCAUCAUCAUGAAUAAAAACAAGUAAAUACUUGACUUUCAUGUAAGACCAUUAAUUUAUUUUGUAUACUUUUUAGGACUUAUCAUUUGUACUAUUCUUUUACACAUAUGUCUAGUCACAUUAUAUUUUGGUUGUACAGCGCUUGCAUAUUUAUUAUGUAUAUAGCUAUCAGGGUUGUGAAGAAUGGCCAUUAAAAUAAUGAAAAUUACUAAAAAA